GGUGAGGUAGUUUAUAAAAAUAUUAAAUUGUAAAUUUAAAGUUGGAUCAAGGAAUCUCUUUGCUA
This 65-nucleotide transfer RNA is filed under the name Xystodesmus sp. YD-2016. RNAcentral describes it as "tRNA-Tyr". Lineage: Eukaryota; Metazoa; Arthropoda; Diplopoda; Polydesmida; Xystodesmidae. The record is from RNAcentral.